Molecule: ribosomal RNA, 585 nt
Filed under: Saccharomyces cerevisiae (brewer's yeast)
Lineage: Eukaryota; Fungi; Ascomycota; Saccharomycetes; Saccharomycetales; Saccharomycetaceae
Description: eukaryotic LSU rRNA
Rfam family: Eukaryotic large subunit ribosomal RNA
Source: RNAcentral
GGGAGGAAAAGAAACCAACCGGGAUUGCCUUAGUAACGGCGAGUGAAGCGGCAAAAGCUCAAAUUUGAAAUCUGGUACCUUCGGUGCCCGAGUUGUAAUUUGGAGAGGGCAACUUUGGGGCCGUUCCUUGUCUAUGUUCCUUGGAACAGGACGUCAUAGAGGGUGAGAAUCCCGUGUGGCGAGGAGUGCGGUUCUUUGUAAAGUGCCUUCGAAGAGUCGAGUUGUUUGGGAAUGCAGCUCUAAGUGGGUGGUAAAUUCCAUCUAAAGCUAAAUAUUGGCGAGAGACCGAUAGCGAACAAGUACAGUGAUGGAAAGAUGAAAAGAACUUUGAAAAGAGAGUGAAAAAGUACGUGAAAUUGUUGAAAGGGAAGGGCAUUUGAUCAGACAUGGUGUUUUGUGCCCUCUGCUCCUUGUGGGUAGGGGAAUCUCGCAUUUCACUGGGCCAGCAUCAGUUUUGGUGGCAGGAUAAAUCCAUAGGAAUGUAGCUUGCCUCGGUAAGUAUUAUAGCCUGUGGGAAUACUGCCAGCUGGGACUGAGGACUGCGACGUAAGUCAAGGAUGCUGGCAUAAUGGUUAUAUGCCGCCC